This 547-nucleotide ribosomal RNA is filed under the name uncultured bacterium. Its description in RNAcentral is "bacterial SSU rRNA". It matches the Rfam family "Bacterial small subunit ribosomal RNA", at positions 355 to 895 of the family's 1533-position model. The record is from RNAcentral.
UAGGGAAUCUUCCGCAAUGGGCGAAAGCCUGACGGAGCAACGCCGCGUGAGUGAUGAAGGUCUUCGGAUCGUAAAACUCUGUUAUUAGGGAAGAACAAAUGUGUAAGUAACUAUGCACGUCUUGACGGUACCUAAUCAGAAAGCCACGGCUAACUACGUGCCAGCAGCCGCGGUAAUACGUAGGUGGCAAGCGUUAUCCGGAAUUAUUGGGCGUAAAGCGCGCGUAGGCGGUUUUUUAAGUCUGAUGUGAAAGCCCACGGCUCAACCGUGGAGGGUCAUUGGAAACUGGAAAACUUGAGUGCAGAAGAGGAAAGUGGAAUUCCAUGUGUAGCGGUGAAAUGCGCAGAGAUAUGGAGGAACACCAGUGGCGAAGGCGACUUUCUGGUCUGUAACUGACGCUGAUGUGCGAAAGCGUGGGGAUCAAACAGGAUUAGAUACCCUGGUAGUCCACGCCGUACGAUGAGUGCUAAGUGUUAGGGGGUUUCCGCCCCUUAGUGCUGCAGCUAACGCAUUAAGCACUCCGCCUGGGGAGUACGACCGCAAGGUU